Molecule: small nuclear RNA, 141 nt
Organism: Felis catus (domestic cat)
Lineage: Eukaryota; Metazoa; Chordata; Mammalia; Carnivora; Felidae
Rfam family: U4 spliceosomal RNA
About the family: U4 small nuclear RNA (U4 snRNA) is a component of the major U2-dependent spliceosome. The structure of U4 snRNA from yeast and human has been reported. U4 snRNA presents a k-turn RNA motif in the 5p-SL related to recognition of Snu13 protein.
Source: Rfam
AGCUUUGUGAAGUGGCAGUAUCGUAGCCAGUGAGAUUUAUCUGAGGUGCUAUUAUUGCUAAUUGAAAAAUACAGAAUUAAAACAAGUCUGCUUUGUAUUUUCUUUAGUCAUGUUUUCAAUGCAUCAAAGUUUACCAUUUAA